Molecule: ribosomal RNA, 497 nt
Filed under: uncultured bacterium
Lineage: Bacteria
Description: partial 16S ribosomal RNA
Rfam family: Bacterial small subunit ribosomal RNA
Source: RNAcentral
GAUGAACGCUGGCGGCGUGCCUAAUACAUGCAAGUCGAGCGAACGGACGAGAAGCUUGCUUCUCUGAUGUUAGCGGCGGACGGGUGAGUAACACGUGGAUAACCUACCUAUAAGACUGGGAUAACUACGGGAAACCGGAGCUAAUACCGGAUAAUAUUUUGAACCGCAUGGUUCAAAAGUGAAAGACGGUCUUGCUGUCACUUAUAGAUGGAUCCGCGCUGCAUUAGCUAGUUGGUAAGGUAACGGCUUACCAAGGCAACGAUGCAUAGCCGACCUGAGAGGGUGAUCGGCCACACUGGAACUGAGACACGGUCCAGACUCCUACGGGAGGCAGCAGUAGGGAAUCUUCCGCAAUGGGCGAAAGCCUGACGGAGCAACGCCGCGUGAGUGAUGAAGGUCUUCGGAUCGUAAAACUCUGUUAUUAGGGAAGAACAUAUGUGUAAGUAACUGUGCACAUCUUGACGGUACCUAAUCAGAAAGCCACGGCUAGCUACGUG